RNAcentral lists this ribosomal RNA (160 nucleotides) under Alexandrium tamarense. RNAcentral describes it as "5.8S ribosomal RNA". The stretch from base 1 to 121 matches the Rfam family "5.8S ribosomal RNA", at positions 35 to 154 of the family's 154-position model. From Rfam's summary of the family: 5.8S ribosomal RNA (5.8S rRNA) is a component of the large subunit of the eukaryotic ribosome. It is transcribed by RNA polymerase I as part of the 45S precursor that also contains 18S and 28S rRNA. The record is from RNAcentral. Lineage: Eukaryota; Dinophyceae; Gonyaulacales; Pyrocystaceae.
GAUGAAGAAUGCAGCAAAAUGCAUUAUGCAUUGUGAAUUGCAGAAUUCCGUGAGCUAACAGAUGUUUGAAUGUUACUUGUGCCUUUGGGAUAUUCUUGAAGGUUUGCUUGAUUCAAUGCCAAUUACCUUCCAUAUGCAAUACUGCUGUUUAGCAUUGCUG